Molecule: long non-coding RNA, 1995 nt
Organism: Poecile atricapillus (Black-capped chickadee)
Lineage: Eukaryota; Metazoa; Chordata; Aves; Passeriformes; Paridae
Exons: 4
Source: RefSeq, a predicted model, not a curated record
GAUACCGAAGUGGCUGAGAACCCAAAAGCUCAAGCUGAGCUGUUGAGUGGGGUCUGCUGACACGGUGGUGCCUGUUGAUACCCAGCACUGCUGCUCUUGUGGCAUCCUGUGGGAAAAUGUGGGAUCUGUCCCCUCCCCAGACCCAGGGUGCUGCUCACCCUCCUGGAGCCAGUCAGGAGGUGACAGCCCCAUCCUCCCCUCUCCUCUCAUCCAGGCUGUCAGAUCCAAGUCAGGGGAUAGGGAAAACGUGGAGAAACCUCCCGUGUGGUGCUCAUUGAUGUGGUCCCAAGACUACCCACCCACAACCUGCCUGUCUCUGAUUUGCUGACAUUAUCCCAAGGUCACAGUCCUCUGCCUCUGAUAUCACCAGCUCUCACUGCAGAAAGGGUAAUGAAUGGGCUGUUAGAGAAGAUGGAAAAAAGAGGUAAAAUGAAGGAGAAAAGAACUUCUGGUUGGAGCCAGACAGGACAGACAUUGACAACCAGAACUCAUGGCUGCACACAGCUGUGGUUCCCACCUCUCCCUUGCUCCCUGUAUGGAUUUUGCUGCCCAUCUCACCACUUCUGAGCAAUAUUAUUUAAAAAAACUCCAUCACCUGAGUGGCAACCACUCUCCUGCCUACCCAACAGUGCCCUAUAAACACAGGCCUUAUAAACACAGCCUGCAAAAUGCUCAGUGGAGUUUCUGCACUUGCAACAGGAGCCCAGGGCAGGGAUGAAGUCACCUUGAACAGAAUUCCCCCCAAAACCCCUGAUGGGGUUUCAAACCUCUGAUUUGGGCUUUGUCAGAUACAAACCAGAGCAGAAAGAUCUCUUAGACAGAAGGAGCAGGGACUUUCUGUGUGAGACAAAGGAAGGAAAGCAGGCUGGGGGUGGCUGUAGUUAACACUUCUGCUCCUGAAGGGCUUUCAGACCCUGCAGCCAGGUGUGCUCAGAGACACCCACAUGCCCUAUUUCAGUCAACAUCAACUACAAAACUCCUGGUGUCCAAAUUUAGACUGGAAUCCAAAACACAUGAGGGACAAGUUAAUUCUGCCUGUGAUAAAAGGGAGGGGGGAGGCUGGCCAGCAGAGUUUGCUGUCGUUCCAGUAGCAAGUGGAAAGGAAAGGCAAGGACUAUCCCCAAAGGAGGCCUAAUCAGGCCACAGAAUCACAAUUCGGGUUUCCACUUGGCAGGAAAUAUGUUAAAGCUAAAUGGAUUUCCUUUGGUAAAACAGAAGCUUAACUGAGACAACACAGUAUUUUAACACACUUUUAAAGUAAUAAAAAUUGUUGUUGAGGCUCUGCAAAAAGCCAGAGCAGCAGGUUCUCCCAAACCAAACCAUAUUCCAGAACGACAUGUUAUGCAAGGAGCAAAAAACCAGGCAAAUGACAGAACAAUGGGUAAAGAGAUGAAAGGGCAUUUAUAGAUAAAUUGGGAUUUGUAAAUAUUAAAUUGAUUUAAUAUUUAAAUUGAUUAAUUAAAUGAAGUCUUAAUGGACUUGCAUUCUCUGCCAAUAUAUUUACAAGGAAAAAGGAUUAACAAGGAUUUUGGCACAAAGGCCUCCAUCUACAGUUCAGUUUUUCAGGAGGGCCUGUUCUUUGUAAAAAAACAUUUAUGUGGGUAGUCUAAAAACUACUGUGGAAAAUCCAUCUCUCACACAGAUGCUGACUUGUGAAAUGUUUGCUUUUUUGCUUUCUGUGAUCACCAGGGCCUGAGAUCUGCACCACUGUUCUGAGGUCGAUUCUGCCUCUGGAAGGACUGUUUAAAUGCCUUAUUAUGGAAUGAUAUAGAUGUGCUUGGCUUUACUGUUGAUUUCCAACAGGUUUAUGUGAAUAAUUGAUUUUUCCCUGUAUUGCCAAAGGAGAAAACUUAGAGGGGGAAUCAGAAUAUUAAAUAAAAACUGUUUAUCAUGUUUUUUCUAACUCAAAGCCAUGCUUUGCUUAGUUUUGUUUUCUCAUCAGUGUUAGUCCACUGCAAAUUCAUUGGAAAAGUGAACAGCUCUUUUAAUAAUUGU